GUCUAUGGCCACACCACACUGAACAUGCCCAAUCUCAUCUGAUCUCAGAAGCUAAGCAGGGUUGGGCCUGGUUAGUACUUGGAUGUGAGAAAUUAAAAAAAUAUAUCUU
Molecule: ribosomal RNA, 109 nt
Filed under: Erinaceus europaeus (western European hedgehog)
Lineage: Eukaryota; Metazoa; Chordata; Mammalia; Eulipotyphla; Erinaceidae
Source: RNAcentral